UGGAGUUUGAGAGGCUGAUACAAUACUCUCUUAAUUUCUCCUUUUUGUCCUGUUACCUACUCAUCCAAGUCCAGCUUUUACUUUGUAUUCUUGUGGCAUUUCAUAGGGCAGUAGCUCAAUCUAUUUUUUUUUCCCUGUCCUGCACCUCAUUUGCAGAGUAGGUCUUGCACCUGGCAGACAAAUCAAUUCUAAACCAUCACAUUUUGGUGCUGCGAUCUGUGUAUUUUAUGCUGAUUCAAAUGGUGAGAACUCCUUAACUGAUCCUAAAAGUUUGCUGUGCUAGUGCAGUUCUGCAGUGAACAGCCUAGUAGCCAGCCAUGAGUAAGUAAAUGGGAUGAAAAAGGUAGUUAAAGAUUCAUAUAAUGCAUUAACCAUCCUUGUAACUUAAUUCAUGGCAUGAUAUAUACAGCUGACAUCAAAAGCCUUUCAUAGCUGUUCUUUAAUUUCAGUUUCAGUAAUGAAUAUAGAUCCAAUUAGAAGGGAGCUGAUACGCAUUCAAAAGAAUUAACAAUACCCCUAAUUUUCAUGUUGAAGUAAUGGUUGCUAUUAUAGACUUCUUGAUUUUAAUCAGAUAUUCUCAAAAAUGACAGCAAAUUUGGAUUCGUAAUGCUAAGCUGAUUCUACAAGGGAUGGCUCUGUCUCUGCCUUCUUAAAAAUAAGUUAGUUCUUAGGAGCACAGAGCAAAGGCUGCUUCUACACAUUACCUGUUUUCAUAGAACAGCAAUGUUUACUCAGGAAACCAAGAAACAAAUCAGCAGCAGCAUGUCUAUUGUCUCCAGAUCUUGGGCCCUUGAGCUGAAGAAUUUUGUCUUCAUGGUGUUGAGAGGGAUGCUGGUGGCAUCAUCACAGUUCAAACUGGAUUGCCUAAAUCUGUCAUGCUGGAUUGAAGUGGCGAUGCAGCAUUUACUGGAGGGUUGUUUUGGGUUUGGGUUUUUUUGGGGGAAGGGUUAAAAUACAUUAAAAUACUACCAAAAAUAAAAGAAGAAAGAAAAUACCUUGCGACA
RNAcentral lists this long non-coding RNA (1004 nucleotides) under Phasianus colchicus (ring-necked pheasant). Its description in RNAcentral is "lncRNA (ENSPCLG00000004442.1)". The record is from RNAcentral. Lineage: Eukaryota; Metazoa; Chordata; Aves; Galliformes; Phasianidae.